RNAcentral lists this ribosomal RNA (424 nucleotides) under uncultured Oscillospiraceae bacterium. RNAcentral describes it as "bacterial SSU rRNA". It matches the Rfam family "Bacterial small subunit ribosomal RNA", at positions 355 to 794 of the family's 1533-position model. Lineage: Bacteria; Bacillati; Bacillota; Clostridia; Eubacteriales; Oscillospiraceae. The record is from RNAcentral.
UGGGGAAUAUUGGGCAAUGGGGGAAACCCUGACCCAGCAACGCCGCGUGAAGGAAGAAGGCUUUCGGGUUGUAAACUUCUUUUACCAGGGACGAAGAAAGUGACGGUACCUGGAGAAAAAGCUCCGGCUAACUACGUGCCAGCAGCCGCGGUAAUACGUAGGGAGCGAGCGUUGUCCGGAUUUACUGGGUGUAAAGGGCGUGUAGGCGGAGCUGCAAGUCAGAAGUGAAAUCUCCGGGCUUAACCCGGAAACUGCUUUUGAAACUGUAGCCCUUGAGUACUGGAGAGGCAGGCGGAAUUCCUAGUGUAGCGGUGAAAUGCGUAGAUAUUAGGAGGAACACCAGUGGCGAAGGCGGCCUGCUGGACAGCAACUGACGCUGAGGCGCGAAAGCGUGGGAGCAAGCAGGAUUAGAUACCCUGGUAGU